Molecule: ribosomal RNA, 253 nt
Filed under: uncultured bacterium
Lineage: Bacteria
Description: partial 16S ribosomal RNA
Rfam family: Bacterial small subunit ribosomal RNA
Source: RNAcentral
UACGUAGGGACCGAGCGUUGUCCGGAUUCAUUGGGCGUAAAGAGCUCGUAGGCGGCUGCUCAAGUCGAAUGUGAAAACUCGAGGCUCAACCUCGAGCCUGCAUUCGAUACUGGGCGGCUAGAGUCUGGUAGGGGGAUCUGGAAUUCCUGGUGUAGCGGUGGAAUGCGCAGAUAUUAGGAGGAACACCGGUGGCGAAGGCGCCACUCUGGGCCGAAACUGACGCUGAGGAGCGAAAGCGUGGGUAGCAAACAGG